UUGAAUAAACCUGGCGUGGUUGUAGCUGGCUCUUUAGGGAGCAUGUGCUCGCCCGUCAUCUUUAUCUUUCCACCUGUGCACUUCUUGUAGGUCUGGAUGUAAACUUUCCGAGGCAACUCGGUCGGGAGGAAUGUCAACUUUUUGUUGGCUUUCCUUGUAUGUCCAGGUCUAUGUUUUCAUAUACUCCAAAGCAUGUAACAGAAUGUGUCUAAGGUCUUUGUGCCUUAUAAACUAUAUA
RNAcentral lists this unclassified non-coding RNA (238 nucleotides) under uncultured Gymnopilus. RNAcentral describes it as "sequence contains ITS1". The record is from RNAcentral. Lineage: Eukaryota; Fungi; Basidiomycota; Agaricomycetes; Agaricales; Cortinariaceae.